This 465-nucleotide ribosomal RNA is filed under the name Triticum aestivum (bread wheat). RNAcentral describes it as "partial small subunit ribosomal RNA". Lineage: Eukaryota; Viridiplantae; Streptophyta; Magnoliopsida; Poales; Poaceae. The record is from RNAcentral.
AUGGGCUUCAGCCCGGGCGGUGGUGAGGUGGACCGGUUGGUGCGCUGGGCCUUGGCGCCGAAUGCGUGCACAGCUGGGCCUCGCUGGAAGAGGCAGGACGCGGUCAAGCGGCUGGGACUAGCACGUGUCUGCGGUUCGGUGACGGGGUCAACGCAGCUGAGGCGCUCGCUUGGCAGGAUCGAGCAGGCAAAGCAGAAGGUUUGCGGGCGCGCUCCUCUUCUCGAGAAGAAGCAGAGCAGAGCAGCGGCGUCAGGGAUCUCCAGCGCGGUGGCGAAGGACGGAGGGCGUGGAACCGGGCGUGAAGACAACGACAGCAAUGCGGUCGGCGAGCAGAGGAGGCCAUGGCAUGGUGCUUGCCUCCUGCAGUCUCCUAGAGAGGACAAAGAGCAGAUAAGAGAGGGAACUAGAGGGAACGGGAGAAGAAGAAGGGAAGGAGAAGCAGCGGGGCAUGGUCGGUCCUGGUAG